CUAAAAGCUACUACAUACGUGAAUGCUUUUGCAGGAUCUGUCAAAGAUUCUAUUGUAGGUGAAGAGCGCAUUGCUCAAUACUUGUUGGCUGUUUUAAAUACUCGAGCCACUCCACUUCAUUGGAGACACUGGAAUAACAGAAUAAUGGAAGGGAUUCGGUAUGAAUCUCGUGAUAAACAUGAAUACAAACUGAAAGAUCUUCGGCCAAAGAGGAAGAAGCUACCAAAUGUGUCUGAUGUGCUGUACGUUGAGGAUCUUGCUAACUGAAGUCAAAAAUUGCCCUGUACAAAAAGUCUUGAGGAAUUCAAUGGUAAUGUUGGAAGACGAGAAUGAUUUGGGAGAAUCCUUACUAGAACAGAGAAACAGCAGUUUGAAGUGCUGCAGUAAGGCAUUGAGGAUACCUCAUAAGGCAUUCUGAAGCUCGUUUGAUGGUAUCCAAGAAGUUAUCUAACUCUAUUUAGGACAGGUAAACUUAAGAAGAUCCUAUCAUCCUUGACGAUGUUCCUUGAUGAUACAUUCAUGUAUCGUAGAAUCUGCAUUAGAAUAUCCCUUAAAAAUUAA
Non-coding RNA from Jatropha curcas, 561 nucleotides. The record is from RefSeq and is a predicted model, not a curated record. Lineage: Eukaryota; Viridiplantae; Streptophyta; Magnoliopsida; Malpighiales; Euphorbiaceae.